Molecule: ribosomal RNA, 422 nt
Filed under: uncultured bacterium
Lineage: Bacteria
Description: partial 16S ribosomal RNA
Rfam family: Bacterial small subunit ribosomal RNA
Source: RNAcentral
AAUUUUGGACAAUGGGGGAAACCCUGACCCAGCCAUCCCGCGUGUAUGAUGAAGGCCNNNGGGUUNUAAAGUACUUUUGGCUGNGAANAAAAGGUACCUCUUAAUACGAGGUACUGCUGACGGUAUCUGCAGAAUAAGCACCGCCUAACUACGUCCCAGCAGCCGCGGUAAUACGUAGGUUGCAAGCGUUAAUGGGAAUUACUGGGCGUAAAGCGUAUGUAGGGGGUUCGGAAAGGAAGAUGGGAAAUCCCAGGGCUCAACCUUGGAACUGCAUUUUUAACUGCCGAGCUAGAGUAUGUCAGAGGGGGGUAGAGUUCAACGUGUAGCAGUGAAAUGCGUAGAUAUGUGAAGGAAUACCGAUGGCGAAGGCAGCCCCCUGGGAUAAUACUGACGCUCAGACACGAAAGCGUGGGGAGCAAACA